AUUUUCGUCAAUGGGGGGAACCCUGAACGAGCAAUGCCGCGUGAGUGAGGAAGGUCUUCGGAUCGUAAAGCUCUGUUGUAAGAGAAAAACGGCACUCAUAGGGAAUGAUGAGUGAGUGAUGGUAUCUUACCAGAAAGUCACGGCUAACUACGUGCCAGCAGCCGCGGUAAUACGUAGGUGGCGAGCGUUAUCCGGAAUGAUUGGGCGUAAAGGGUGCGUAGGUGGCAGAUCAAGUCUGGAGUAAAAGGUAUGGGCUCAACCCGUACUKGCUCUGGAAACUGAUCAGCUAGAGAACAGAAGAGGACGGCGGAACUCCAUGUGUAGCGGUAAAAUGCGUAGAUAUAUGGAAGAACACCGGUGGCGAAGGCGGCCGUCUGGUCUGGWUWCUGACACUGAAGCACGAAAGCGUGGGGAGCAAAUAGGAUUAGAUACCCUAGUAGUCCACGCCGUAAACGAUGAGAACUAGGUGUUGGGGGAAUAACUCAGUGCCGCAGUUAACGCARUAAGUUCUCCGCCUGGGGAGUAUGCACGCAAGUGUGAAACUCAAAGGAAUUGACGGGGGCCCGCACAAGCGGUGGAGUAUGUGGUUUAAUUCGAAGCAACGCGAAGAACCUUACCAGGCCUUGACAUCCCUUGCAGAGGUAUAGAGAUAUAUCCGAGGUUAACAAGGAGACAGGUGGUGCAUGGUUGUCGUCAGCUCGUGUCGUGAGAUGUUGGGUUAAGUCCCGCAACGAGCGCAACCCUUGUGAUAUGUUACUAACAUUGAGUUGAGGACUCAUAUCAGACUGCCGGUGAUAAACCGGAGGAAGGUGGGGAU
This 817-nucleotide ribosomal RNA is filed under the name metagenome. RNAcentral's name for it is "bacterial SSU rRNA". It matches the Rfam family "Bacterial small subunit ribosomal RNA", at positions 361 to 1180 of the family's 1533-position model. The record is from RNAcentral.